UUAAUCAACCAAAAAUCAUAUAAAAUUAACAAUGAACAAAUAUCAUAUUACAACAUAUUUACUUAUCACACCAUUCCAUAAAUGUAUGGCCACAUGGUCUUCAUAACCUAUCAAUAGUGUCCCAUCCAGUGGACUUCCGGGAUAACCUUCACCUUCUACUUGAGGUGCGCCUUCAUCCUCCACCUCCAUUUGGGGUUCGACUUCUUUAGGUUCAACAUGUUCUGCAUCUUCAUGUUCAACAUGUUCUUCAUCUUCAUUAACAUGUCUUCUUCUUCUAACAGAGACUGUGGGACGUAGACGAUCACCUUGUGAACCUCCUCCCCUAGUCUUCACCAUUUCUAUUCAAUUACACCAUUCAAGUUAAAUCAAAUUACAAACAAUGCACAGUACGAAUUCAGAAAUAUGAAAACCUACUACGGAUCCACCAAUCUGGAAUGUUAUUCAUCUAACAUUAUAGUUAUAAAUUUAACAACAAAUAAAGUGUGAAACUAAAUUUUACUAUUUUAUAAAGUACAUCAUUUAUUUAAAAAUAAAUAAAAACUUCAUUUCAACAAUCAAAAUUAAAGAAACUAAUCACUUAUUUAAAAAAAAUGUAUUAUCUUGAUUGAAAUUCUUGCAAGUUUGGUUAUAAAUAAUGAAUGAGUGCAUACUAAUCCAACCCUAAAACUCCUCUAGUUCGACCCAAUACAAAUUAUAGAAUAGAUUAUGAUUUACUAAUUUGAGCCAAUACAAAUACACAGUAACAACAACAACAAUUAAUAUUCCAGAAACAAAAAUCCAUAAUAUUACCUAAAACAACAAUCUGAAAUAUUACCAGAACCACCAAUCCAGGAUUUUAUCGAAAGCAUCAAUUCGAAAUUUCUGCGGAUUUCAUAAUCUAAAAUGUGAAAAAACAUAUACGGAUUCUCUAUUCCGUAAAACUAUCAGAUUUCAUUGUCUGGAAUGAUAUAAAUGAAGUGCGGAAAUGAAAAUUUGAAGAAAAACAAAAGUACAAAUCCAAAAACAAAAAAUUUUACUUACCUUUAAGCACCAAGUUGCUAAGACCACCCUAAACCACCAGAGAUGUGUGAGAUUGAAAGGCACCGAAAUGGAGUUCUGCAGUUUUGCAGUUGCAGCUGCACAAUGUGUGGGAAGAAGAAAAUAAUAGUG
Molecule: long non-coding RNA, 1149 nt
Filed under: Phaseolus vulgaris (common bean)
Lineage: Eukaryota; Viridiplantae; Streptophyta; Magnoliopsida; Fabales; Fabaceae
Description: long non-coding RNA (PVUL_LNC001299)
Source: RNAcentral